GACGAACGCUGGCGGCGUGCCUAAUACAUGCAAGUUGAGCGCUGAAGGUUGGUACUUGUACCGACUGGAUGAGCAGCGAACGGGUGAGUAACGCGUGGGGAAUCUGCCUUUGAGCGGGGGACAACAUUUGGAAACGAAUGCUAAUACCGCAUAAAAACUUUAAACACAAGUUUUAAGUUUGAAAGAUGCAAUUGCAUCACUCAAAGAUGAUCCCGCGUUGUAUUAGCUAGUUGGUGAGGUAAAGGCUCACCAAGGCGAUGAUACAUAGCCGAGCUGAGAGGGGGGUGGGCCAGAGUGGGACGGGGACACGGGCCGAACGCCUACGGGAGGCAGCAGUAGGGAAUCUUCGGCAAUGGACGAAAGUCUGACCGAGCAACGCCGCGUGAGUGAAGAAGGUUUUCGGAUCGUAAAACUCUGUUGGUAGAGAAGAACGUUGGUGAGAGUGGAAAGCUCAUCAAGUGACGGUAACUACACAGAAAGGGACGGCUAACUACGUG
This 497-nucleotide ribosomal RNA is filed under the name uncultured bacterium. RNAcentral's name for it is "partial 16S ribosomal RNA". It matches the Rfam family "Bacterial small subunit ribosomal RNA", at positions 28 to 507 of the family's 1533-position model. The record is from RNAcentral.